This 253-nucleotide ribosomal RNA is filed under the name uncultured bacterium. Its description in RNAcentral is "partial 16S ribosomal RNA". It matches the Rfam family "Bacterial small subunit ribosomal RNA", at positions 524 to 776 of the family's 1533-position model. The record is from RNAcentral.
CACGUAGGGCGCAAGCGUUGUCCGGAAUUAUUGGGCGUAAAGAGCUCGUAGGCGGUCUGUUGCGUCCGCUGUGAAAACCCGGGGCUUAACCCUGGGCUGGCAGUGGAUACGGGCAGACUAGAGGUAGGUAGGGGAGAAUGGAAUUCCCGGUGUAGCGGUGAAAUGCGCAGAUAUCGGGAGGAACACCGGUGGCGAAGGCGGUUCUCUGGGCCUUACCUGACGCUGAGGAGCGAAAGCGUGGGGAGCGAACAGG